RNAcentral lists this ribosomal RNA (66 nucleotides) under Aeromonas salmonicida subsp. salmonicida. RNAcentral's name for it is "partial 23S ribosomal RNA". Lineage: Bacteria; Pseudomonadati; Pseudomonadota; Gammaproteobacteria; Aeromonadales; Aeromonadaceae. The record is from RNAcentral. RNAcentral also lists the same sequence under 1 other name.
UGUGUUGAGCUAACCCAUACUAAUUACCCGUGAGGCUUAACCAUACAACACCCAAGAAGUGUUCUG